CCUACGGGAGGCAGCAGUGAGGAAUAUUGGUCAAUGGACGAGAGUCUGAACCAGCCAAGUAGCGUGAAGGAUGACUGCCCUAGGGGUGGUAAACUUCUUUUAUAAAGGAAUAAAACGACGCACGUGUGCCUUUUUGCAUGUACUUUAUGAAUAAGGAUCGGCUAACUCCGUACCAGCAGCCGCGGUAAUACGGAGGAUCCGAGCGUUAUCCGGAUUUAUUGGGUUUAAAGGGAGCGUAGGUGGAUUGUUAAGUCAGUUGUGAAAGCUUGCGGCUCAACCGUAAAAUUGCAGUUGAAACUGGCAGUCUUGAGUACAGUAGAGGUGGGCGGAAUUCGUGGUGUAGCGGUGAAAUGCUUAGAUAUCACGAAGAACUCCGAUUGCGAAGGCAGUUCACUGGACUGCAACUGACACUGAGGCUCGAAAGUGUGGGUAUCAAACAGGAUUAGAUACCCGAGUAGUC
RNAcentral lists this ribosomal RNA (460 nucleotides) under uncultured bacterium. Its description in RNAcentral is "partial 16S ribosomal RNA". It matches the Rfam family "Bacterial small subunit ribosomal RNA", at positions 338 to 795 of the family's 1533-position model. The record is from RNAcentral.